RNAcentral lists this transfer RNA (74 nucleotides) under bacterium. RNAcentral's name for it is "tRNA-Arg". It matches the Rfam family "tRNA". From Rfam's summary of the family: Transfer RNA (tRNA) molecules are approximately 80 nucleotides in length. Their secondary structure includes four short double-helical elements and three loops (D, anti-codon, and T loops). The record is from RNAcentral. RNAcentral also lists the same sequence under 1 other name.
GCGCCAGUAGCUCAAGCGGAUAGAGCAACAGCCUUCUAAGCUGUGGGUUGAGGGUUCGAGUCCCCCCUGGCGCA